ACUCCUACGGGAGGCAGCAGUGAGGAAUCUUGCGCAAUGGGGGCAACCCUGACGCAGCAACGCCGCGUGGAGGAAGAGGGCCUUCGGGUUGUAAACUCCUGUCAGGGGGAACGAAGACACCUGGGUUAAUAGCCCAAGGGUUGACGGUACCCCCAGAGGAAGCCACGGCUAACUACGUGCCAGCAGCCGCGGUAAU
RNAcentral lists this ribosomal RNA (196 nucleotides) under uncultured bacterium. RNAcentral's name for it is "partial 16S ribosomal RNA". It matches the Rfam family "Bacterial small subunit ribosomal RNA", at positions 335 to 524 of the family's 1533-position model. The record is from RNAcentral.